AGUGAACGCUGGCGGUAGGCCUAACACAUGCAAGUCGAACGGCAGCACAGUAAGAGCUUGCUCUUACGGGUGGCGAGUGGCGGACGGGUGAGGAAUACAUCGGAAUCUACUUUUUCGUGGGGGAUAACGUAGGGAAACUUACGCUAAUACCGCAUACGACCUACGGGUGAAAGCAGGGGAUCUUCGGACCUUGCGCGAUUGAAUGAGCCGAUGUCGGAUUAGCUAGUUGGCGGGGUAAAGGCCCACCAAGGCGACGAUCCGUAGCUGGUCUGAGAGGAUGAUCAGCCACACUGGAACUGAGACACGGUCCAGACUCCUACGGGAGGCCGCAGUGGGGAAUAUUGGACGAUGGGCGCAAGCCUGAUCCAGCCAUACCGCGUGGGUGAAGAAGGCCUUCGGGUUGUAAAGCCCUUUUGUUGGGAAAGAAAAGCAGCAGGUUAAUACCCCGCUGUUCUGACGGUACCCAAAGAAUAAGCACCGGCUAACUUCGUG
RNAcentral lists this ribosomal RNA (492 nucleotides) under uncultured bacterium. Its description in RNAcentral is "partial 16S ribosomal RNA". It matches the Rfam family "Bacterial small subunit ribosomal RNA", at positions 29 to 507 of the family's 1533-position model. The record is from RNAcentral.